CAGGCAUCUGGAAGGCAAGGAAGCAGGCCAGAGGUCACACGGGAAGAGACGUCCUCCAUCCUGAACCAAAGAGCACGGGCCUGCCUGGCGGCUCCUGGGACAUGGCCCCGGCCACUUCCAAGCUCUUUAAGAGGACUUGGUGACACAGCUGCAUUCAGGUGUGUGGUCAGCACGUGCUUACCAGAGUCUCCGCAGCACACGCUGGUUUGCUGCCACCAUGAGGAUGGGGGCAGGGUACCUACAGGCAGAGGAAAUGCCGCCGCCUCCAGGAAGUAACUGUCUCCCAGGGAGGUGACACCACUCCAGUUAAACCCACACAGUGAAUGUCACUUUCUACAAGGAAGGCUGAAGCCUGGCUGACCCCCAGGAUGAUGAGGGCUUAUGAAGUGACUGAGAAAAGCCCUGGAAUCUUCCCCGGCUUUGAGCUCUGCAGGGCCACAGACGAAGGCUCAGGGUGGCUGCCCUGGCAGGGUAUGGCUGGAGCUGAGACCAGACCAGCCCGAGGUCAGAAGCUCCUGGGCAGUUUUUCUUUUUUUUUGAGCUGGAUUCUCACUCUGUCACUCAGGCUGGAGUGUAGUGGUACGAUCUCAGCCCACUGCAACCUCCUGCCUCCCAAGUUCAGGUAAUUCUCCCACCUCAGCCUCCCAUGUAGCUGGGACUACAGAUGCCCAUCUGGCUAAUUUUGUAUUUUUAGUAGAGAUGGAGUUUCACCAUGUUGGCCAGGCUGGUCUUGAACUCCUCAGACGAUCCAUCCGCCUCAGCCUCCUAAAGUGUAGGAUUACAGGCAUGAGCUACCAUGCCUGGCUAAAUUUUGUGUUUCCGGUAAAGAGAGGGUUUCGUCAUGUGGACCCAGGCUAGUCUCAAACUCCUGCCCUCAGGCAAUCUGCCUGCCUCGGCCUCCCAUAGUGCUGGGAUUACAGGCAUGAGCCACCAUGCCCAGCUGGCAGUUCUCAGCUCAGCAUGCCACAGCUUCCCUCCUGCACUCAGCGCCAGAUCAGAGGGUUCAGCCGUGAGCUCGGAGCUGUCUCCUGGAGCAUGUGUGUUAAGGUGGAGGCUGAGACAGGGCCUGGGCAUCUGAUUUUUUAGGUGCCCAGGGGUGCUGACACCACUGCUGGGACCCCACUCUGAGGACCACCAGCUUGGAUGAAAGAGAGCCCGUCUCUCCCACCCCAAGCUGGACAAGACCUUCACUGCCUUCCCAGAUGUGAGCCACAGCAGGAGGGCAGGGCCUGCAGUCCCCAGCAUCUGCCCUGCACCGGGGCUUGAGCAAGCAGUGGAGUCCCUUGCUCACCUCCUUCCAGAAGAUAAAGAGGGUCCCACUGAUGAUGACGGCCGCGGACAUGAGGAUCUUCAGGAUGAGGGCUCUGCUGAGGAUGGUGUCCCCCACGCUCCGUGGUGGCUGCCUGAGGGCGUCUUUGUCAACGGGCUCUACCCCCAGGCUGCUCCCAACAAAACACAGACACUUGGAAAUGAACCAGGACUGAAAAAAGGACACUUGAAACAGCUGUGCCUACAUCUUCCAGGACAAGCUGGCAGUGGGCAGGGCCAGGCAUUUGCUGAAUGCCCCCAGGCAUCCCGCAUGUCCUCUUUGGCGCCUUCCAGAAGCCCCAGAGCCUAGGCCCCUCCAUCUGCCCCCAGACAGUGAAGGAAGACCACCCAGUGAGGCCAACCACACACAGUUCCAUACGCCCAGGCUCACUCCAUCACCACAAGGGGACCCCCAACGUUGGGCCUGGAGAAACAGGCUCUGCCCUCCGCAGGGCCCCUCAUCGGUGGAGGAAGACCUGCCUCCAGCCAACUCCACACAGCAGGGUUGACGCUAGACCAGCAGCGGGCGGCAUGGCAGGAGCAGCUGGGUGACACCCCACUGCUCAGACACAGCUGAGGCCAGCUUCUUGGCCCCAUUUCCGCUCGCGGGGACCGGGGGCAGGAGAGGUAACCCUCACACUUGGCUGUGGGGACACAAAUGAGGACUCUUUCCCUUGGCCGCUGGCAAUGGUGAUAACAGCAGCACUGAGCCAGCUCCAGUGGAAGCACUGUUGGCUCUGUGCUCACACGGUUACGUUCGCAUGGCCACGUGGGUCCCCUGACUCCAAAGCCCAUUCCUUCCCCUGGGCCACUCGGCUAGCUUAAUAUCCCCUUGUUGUUCGGGAUAUUAAGUUGUGCCACAGGUGAACUCCUGAACACCUACUGGGGUAACAAGUACUUUAUCUCUAGACUGCAGGGAUAAAACAAACUCUGCCUCGAUGAAGCUGAUGUUCUAAAGGGGAGCCAGAUCAUCAUCACAUCCAUAAGGAAAGGUAUGGACGUAUUUCCUCUCUCUGGAAAAAUACAGCAGCAUGAGGAGAUGGAGUGGGAGUGCAAUCAGGGAAGACUUCCUGAAGGCAGUGACGGGAAUGAAGAAUGAGAACGAGCCAGGCAGGCUGCCCAGGGAGAGCAUCCCGGCAGAGGGAGCAGAGAGUUCCAUCCUCUGCCAACCCAGGUACUUUCUCCUCUGCCUUCUACCCUCAGUCUCACUCCAGUGCUAGACACUCCAGUUUUCUGGGAACUCCUGAUGGAAAGUGGCUGUGUUUGUUCAUCCCUAUAGCCUUGGGGCACAGCCAGCAGCCCCUGGAGGAAGCCCUGCAGGGGGGUAACGGGACGUAGAACCCUGCCCGGCCUCACCUCUGCGCAGGGGGCCCGUCCAUGAUGAUGUUGAUCCACAGGAUCUGCAUGGCGUUGAGAGGGCUGGGCAGGUUGAACACGGUGGACAGAGUGAUGAGACUCAGGGCGGAGAUGCUCCUGUGGGGCACACGCAGCCAGUCAGGGGCUGCCCAGCAGGCUUGGCGCCUCAUGCCCUCGGAAAGCCAGCCUCUACUUACGUGCUCAGCUGGAAGCGGACGAAGUUUUUGAUGUUGUAAAAAAUCCCCUUCCCUUCCUCCACUGCAUUCCUGCGAGAGAAGAGAGCCGCUUACUCACAGAGGCCCUGCGGGAGGACUCCAGCAGCCGUGUCGGUUGCUGCAGGGGGCAGUGGUGACGUGCACAGAUGGAUGGCAGACUUGGACUUGCUGGCUUUCUUGGGGACACAUCUGUAGGAGAUGGUGGUAGUCUAACAGGUGACCCUCGGCCACUGGGGACUGAUCCUCAAGCCACGUUUGCCCUUCUGUGCCAAGUGUACAUUUGAUGCCUCCAAUCCAAUCAUAAAUUACUCUCCUGUCGAGCCCAGGGACCCCAUCCCUGCCUGGACUCCUGAGUGUUCCGUGCCUCUCAGCGAUUCACCAAAGAAAAGAAAGACACAGCAAAACCAGUCAGGCCUGAAAGUGAGGUCGGUGGGGGGACAGUAAGAAGGGAGGGAUGGGGAGGCUGAAGGAUGCUACUUACUUGUAUCUUUAGAAGGCUCUUCGUGGAAGCCCUUUUAAACCUUGACCUGGGGUCACUAGUGUCGAAAAGCAAUCUACAAACCACCCCCACCCCCAGAUUUUUCUAAAAAAUUUUGCAAAAGAACUGUAGAGCUGAUAGGACUUUUUUUUUUUUGGUGACUGUGUUAGGGCUUCCUAUGAUGAGUCAGUCGUGGAGACACCUUUGCAAAAUGGGUGAUCACACCUAACCUUAGCAUCUGUUCAUUUGAAUUUCUGAUAACAGCCUUAGAAAAGCUUUCCCUUGCCGGGCGCGGUAGCUCACGCUUGUAAUUUCAGCACUUUGGGAGGCCAAGGUGGGUAGAUCGGGAGGUCAGGAGUUUGAGACCAACAUGGUGAAACCCCAUCUCUACUACAGAUACAAAGAAUUAGCCAGGUGUGGUGGCACACGCCUGUAGUCCCAGCUACUCGUGAGGCUGAGACAGGAGAAUCGCUUGAACCCGGGAGGCAGAGGUUGCGGUGAGCUGAGAUCUCACCAUCACACUCCAGCCUGGGCAACAGGGCGCGACUGUCUCAAAAAAAAUUUUUUUUCCCUUACUUCCAACUACUGUGAUUUCCUUAGGAGGGAGUUUGAACUAAUUAAAAUUAGAUCCAGAGGGAAGGUAAAUAUAUUAAGAAAAAAAAUACAUAAAAGUGAAACGGAACAACUAGCUUUACACAAUCCCAGACCCUAGAGAGCCCACCGGUGGUUCUUUUCAGUGCAUGAGAUGCACAUAUCAACAUGCUGGCCUCCAACUGAGGAGCUUCGCUUCAUCCCUUCUCACCUGACACUCCAGUGCCUGCGUGCCUCUGGCUGCAGGUUUUCCUGACAGAUUCGGCUGCUGUCCACCGGCCUGAGCCAGGCGGGCACUCCCAGUAACACACGAAACACACCCGCAGGCAGCGAAUCCCAUCUCUGCUUCGUGUCUGUAACGUGCCCCAGAGGUCAUGGAUCCCAUGACGCUGCUUUGAGAGGCUCUUGGUGUUUGAGGUUGGGGGCACUGCCACAGUGAUGAACCCCAAGAUUGAGCUCUCCCUGGGGGACUCCUUGAGAUCCCCUCUAUCUCCCCAUGACGCUGCUUUGAGAGGCUCUUGGUGUUUGAGGUUGGGGGCACUGCCACAGUGAUGAACCCCAAGAUUGAGCUCUCCCUGGGGGACUCCUUGAGAUCCCCUCUAUCUCCACAGUAGCAGGUCCCAGGGAGAAACUGGUGACCCCAGGCCUUUUUGCAACUAAAACUACCGAAAGGGCAGCUUACAUGAUGGCUGAGAAGUCAUCGUCCACCAGGAUCAUGUUGGCCGCCUCUUUGCUGACGUCCGUCCCUGUCUGCCCCAUGGCGAUCCCGAUGUCUGCAGACUUCAGGGCCACUGCAUCAUUCACGCCAUCCCCAGUCAUGGCCACGAUCGCCCCUGACUCCUGCAGAGCCUUUGGACAGAACAGCCAUGAAGGCCUGCAGCCCGAGGACCCCUCCUGGCUCCUCCCUUCCCUCCCAGUGCUCUGCCAAGCACAGCACGUGGCCAGAUGCAGAGACCUCUGUCUGGAAGGCACCAGAGUCUGAAUUCCAGCUUCACCCACAUUAGCUGUAGGAACUGGGCGAGCCCUUGACCCUCUCAACCUCAGUUUCCCCAUCUGCAAAGUGGGAGCAACCGUUCCUUCUUCCCAGGGCUGUUGUGAGGCCCAAAGUAAGAUGACGGAUGUGACGGUGCCCAGCACGGUCAGCAAGGGCUCAUAAAGGCUAUCUAUCAUCACCAGUGAUAACUAGUAAUACAAGGUGCAGCCCUAAAACCAUGAGAGACCCGGUAAGUACUACUGCUUUCUUUGAGGAGUAACUCACAUAGGGAUUUACUCUGCAGAACUAAAAAGAACAUGAAAGAAAGUCCAUCUGCUGAAAGAGCUCCAGGCAAACAUUCAGAGUGCGCGCAGGCGAGAAACGCACUUUCCGCCUCUCAGUUUUUGGAUGCAGGGUCACAAAAUCACAGCAGCUCUUCACGGGACACCUGCUGUGUGCCUGGCUUUGUUCAGCACUCUCACCAGCCCUGCAAAUUAGCUGACGGCAUUCAUAGUCCCCCCAUUUUGCAGAGGAGGAAACUGAGGCACAGAGCGAGGCAGGUGCAUCACCUGAGGUCAGGAGUUGGAGACCAGCCUGGCAAACAUGGCGAAACGCUGUCUCUACUACAAACACAAAUUAGCCAGGUGUGCUGGUGCACACCGUAAUCCCACCUACUUGGGAGGCUGAGGCAGCAGAAUUGCUUGACCCUGGAAGGCAGAGGUUGAAAUGAGCCGAGAUUGUGCCACUCACUCCAGCCUGGGUGACAGUGAGACUCUGUACCGCCCUCCACCAAAAGAAAAAAAAAAAAAGCAUCUGCUGUAGUUUUUCCCUGUGCAUGCUCCAGUUACGGCUCUGUUUUCAGCCUCUGUGGCAAGGGUCCCCCAGUUCUCCCCUCCUCCUUAAAAGGACCCCCAGGCUCACUGGAGCUCGUGUCCACCCUGCUAGAGACGACACUUCCUGACAUCCUCUGCAGCUAAACCUGGGCCUGUGACUGCGUUCUGGCCAAGGGGCUGUGAGCACAAGUGAUGCUGGCAACUUCAGGGCCCCGUCCUCUCCAAGGGGGCUGCCCACCUGCUCCUGCUCCUCCUCCUCCCCCUCCCUCCCCAGGCUGUGAAAACGUAACCCCUGGGGCAGCUGCCCUGGACCUAGAGAAGGAAGCCACGCUUGAGCCCUGUGCUACCACCCGACAGACACGUGAGCUCCUCCAGCCACAGUAUCUCUGGCCCGGCCCCAGUGGCACAGCCUGUGCCCGCCUUGCCCCGCAAACCUUGAUGAUUUUGAGCUUGUGCUUUGGGCUGGUCCUGAAGAACACGGACACCUGGACAUGGAUACAGGGAAGGUGAAGAAUCAGAUUUCAGAGCUGUGACCCAGCCCCACUGCCAGCCGCGCCUCCGGAGACCCACCUUCCCCACGCGGUCGGCCAGCUCGCCCUUCUCUACGCCGUCCACCUCCUCCCCGGACAUGGCUUGCAGCUUCCUGUUGCAGAGGCCAAUGUUUCUUCCUGCAGGAGAACCUGCUCUGAGGGCCGGCUCCAAGGUCCCCUUCCCCCCCGCUCCCAGCCGUACCUUAGCCAUGGACAACACCAAGAAUAAACCCACGCUGGAGAUGGUGUCCUGGGCACCCCCUGUGCCGUGUGGCCUCAGUGCUUUCCACAGGACUAACUGACACCAAACACCUCAUUAUCCCCACUUUAAAGAUGAGGAAAGAAAGGAGUGACCUAUCCGAGGACACACAGCUGAUAAGGAGUAACUCUGGAAGCCCACACGGCUUUCAUUCCAAGGCCCAUGGACCUUUUCAUAGCACCAGGCAGGGGGAGGGGGAAAGGAGGGAGGGAGGAGGAGGAAGAGAUUCAUGGGCCUGGCUUUGUUUAAUCCUCUCCCCAACCCUGUGAAUUAGCUGUACCCCUAUUUUACAGAGGAGGAAACUGAGGCACAGUUGAAUAACAGGAAUAAUGCCAAGGAAUGCCCAGCACUUGGGAAGGCCAAGGCGGGCAGAUCACCUGAGGUCAGGAGUUUGAGACCAGCCUGGUCAACAUAGCAAAACCCUGUCUCUACUAAAAAUACAAAAUUAGCCAGGUGUGGUGGUACACGCUGUAAUCCCAGCUACUUGGGAGGCUGAGGCAGGAGAAUCCCUUGAACCUGGGAGGCAGACGUUGAAGUAAGCCGAGAUUGUGCCACUGCACUCCAGCCUGGGUGACAGCGUGAGACUCAGUACUGCUCCCCACCAAAAAAAGACAAAAGAUAGCAUCUGUUGUAGGUUUCCUCUAACCUACAACAGUUAAGGGAGGAGGAGAAAGGAGGAAAAAGAAAGGAGGAGGAAGAAAAAGGGAGGAGGAGAGAGGAUGAGGACGGGGGAGAAGGCUGCCAGCCCUCUACUGAUGAAGAGACUGAGGGUCAGAGUGGUUCAACGGUUUGCCAAGGGUACAGCAGACUCAAACUACAUGGGCAUGAGGCUGCUUGUGAAGAUAGUGGAUGAAAAGCCCCUGACACAUCGUAGGCCUUCAGUAUCCAUGAGAACGUUUCCCCUUUUGCAGAACCUGCCAACAUUUCAGAAACUGGAACACCUCAGAGGAUGGAAAGCUGACCCAUGAAUCUCAGCAUCUUUUCUAAGCCUAUAGGGCUCGACAUGAGCACUCCUGACCGAGUUAGCUGAGGCUUUCCUAUGGCAGCAGCCCCCCAUAGUAAAGGAUGGAUGGGUCCUUUCAUCCUCAACCCCCACCCUGUUCAGUUACCUAUGGCCAAGGCCGUCUCCAGAGCAUCUCCUGUUACCAUCUUCACGGACACGCCUGACUCGGAGAGAACCUGAACUGCUUCCUUCACGCCAGCCCUCGGGGGAUCGAUGAUGCCCACGAGACCCAGGAAUGUCAGCUGUCCCAGCUCGGGCCCAGAAGCCAGGGCCAGCACUGCAGAGAGGGGGAGAGAAAAGAGGGUUCACUGGGGACUUAGGGGCCAUUUUUUUGUGUUUUGUUUUUUUCUUGAGAGGGAGUUUCGUUCUUGUUGCCCAGGCUGGAGUGCAGUGGCACCAUCUCAGCUCACUGCCCAGGUUCAAAUGAUUCCACUGCCUCAGCCUCCUGAGUAGCCAGGAUUACAGGUGCUCACCACCACGCCCAGCUAAUUUUCAUAUUUUUAGUAGAGACAGGGUUUCACCAUGUUGGUCAGGCUGCUCUCAAACUCCUGACCUCAGGUGAUCUUCCCACCUCAGCCUCCCAAAGUGCUGGGAUUACUGGUGUGAGCCACCGCACCCAGUUGUUAGUUCCCAGCCAGCCCCCACCAUGGCCCAGAUCCUCCUCGGUCUGCAGGGGGCUCAGGCAGCAAGUUCCUAGACUGCAAAGGGAGGGCAGAGAUGCUGCCAGUGGCUCUCAGGCCUGUGAAGAUGCACACCAGAGAGGGAAGCCAGAAACAGCCACGUAGCAGAAAGCAUCACUGCUGUCCACGUGAUACAGUUUGGCUGUAUCCCCACCAAAUCUCAUCUUGAACUGUGGCUCCUGUAAUUCCCAUGUGUUGUGGGAGGGACCUGGUGGGAGGUUAGUGAAUCAUACCGGUGGUUUCCCCGUACUGUUCUGUGGUAGUGAAUAAGUCUCAUGAGAGCUGAUAAUUUCAUGAGAGGUUUCCUCUUUUUCUUGGCUCUCAUUCCCUCUUGCUAGCCACCAGGUAAGAUGUGCCUUUCACCUUGUGCCAUGACUGUGAGGCCUCCCCAGCCACGUGGAACUGUGAGUCCAUUAAAUUUCUUUUUCUUUAUAAAUUA
Callithrix jacchus (white-tufted-ear marmoset) is the source of this 8665-nucleotide long non-coding RNA. RefSeq lists it as uncharacterized. Lineage: Eukaryota; Metazoa; Chordata; Mammalia; Primates; Cebidae. The record is from RefSeq and is a predicted model, not a curated record.